UACGUAGGGUGCGAGCGUUGUCCGGAAUUAUUGGGCGUAAAGAGCUCGUAGGCGGUUUGUUGCGUCUAUCGUGAAAACCUGCAGCUUAACUGUGGGCUUGCGGUGGAUACGGGCAGACUUGAGUUCGGUAGGGGAGACUGGAAUUCCUGGUGUAGCGGUGAAAUGCGCAGAUAUCAGGAGGAACACCGGUGGCGAAGGCGGCUUGCUAGGCCGCAACUGACACUGAGGGACGAAAGCUAGGGGAGCGAAUGGG
RNAcentral lists this ribosomal RNA (253 nucleotides) under uncultured bacterium. RNAcentral's name for it is "partial 16S ribosomal RNA". It matches the Rfam family "Bacterial small subunit ribosomal RNA", at positions 524 to 776 of the family's 1533-position model. The record is from RNAcentral.